GACGAACGCUGGCGGCGUGCUUAACACAUGCAAGUCGAACGGAAAGGCCCUGCUUUUGUGGGGUGCUCGAGUGGCGAACGGGGGAGUAACACGUGAGUAAGCUGCCCUUGACUGUGGGAUAACUUCAGGAAACUGGGGCUAAUACCGUAGAGGAGCUCCUGCUGCAAGGUGGGGGUUGGAAAGAUUGCGCGGUUGGGGAUGGACUCGCGGCGGAUCGGCUUGUUGGUGGGGGGGCGGCUUACGAAGGCUUUGACGGGUGGCCGGCCUGAGAGGGUGACCGGCCACAUUGGGACUGAGAUACCGCCCAGACUCCUACGGGAGGCAGCAGUGGGGGAUAUUGCACCAUGGGCGGAAGCCUGAUGCAGCAACGCCGCGUGCGCGAUAACGGCCUUCGGGUUGUAAACCGCUUUCGCCUGUGACGAAGCGUGAGUGACGGUAAUGGGUAAAGAAGCACCGGCUAACUACGUG
This 468-nucleotide ribosomal RNA is filed under the name uncultured bacterium. Its description in RNAcentral is "partial 16S ribosomal RNA". It matches the Rfam family "Bacterial small subunit ribosomal RNA", at positions 28 to 507 of the family's 1533-position model. The record is from RNAcentral.